UACGGUUACCUUGUUACGACUUAGUCCCAGUCACCAGUCUUACCGUCGGCCGUCGCUUCCUUGCGGUUAGCUAAACGGACUUCGGGUACUCCCGGCUUCCAUGACUUGACGGGCGGUGUGUACAAGGCUCAGGAACACAUUCACCGCGUCGUGGCUGAUACGCGAUUACUAGCGAUUCCAACUUCAUGGAGUCGAGUUUCAGACUCCAAUCCGAACUGGGGCCGGCUUUGUGCGAUUUGCUCCACCUCUCGGUAUCGCGUCGCUCUGUACCGGCCAUUGUAGCACGUGUGACACCCUGGGCAUAAAGGCCAUGAUGACUUGACGUCGUCCCCACCUUCCUCCGGCUUAACGCCGGCGGUCUCGCUAGAGUCCCCGACAUGACUCGCUGGCAACUAACGAUAGGGGUUUCGCUCGUUAAGGGACUUAACCUGACACUUCACAGCACGAGCUGACGACAGCCAUGCAGCACCUGUGCACGUUUCACCCGAAGGCAGCCUGCUCCUGUUUCCAAGAGAGCAUCCGUGCAUGUCAAACCCAGGUAGGGUUCUGCGCGUUGCUUCGAAUUAAUCCACAUGCUCCACCGCUUGUGUGAGCCCCCGUCAAUUCCUUUGAGUUUUAGCCUUGCGGCCGUACUCCCCAGGCGGCGUAC
This 649-nucleotide ribosomal RNA is filed under the name uncultured bacterium. RNAcentral describes it as "partial 16S ribosomal RNA". The record is from RNAcentral.